Molecule: non-coding RNA, 443 nt
Organism: Camellia sinensis
Lineage: Eukaryota; Viridiplantae; Streptophyta; Magnoliopsida; Ericales; Theaceae
Source: RefSeq, a predicted model, not a curated record
CUCGUGAUAACCGUAUCCCCCAUUCAACAAACUUACAUUGCGAGGAGCCUCAUCAGAAUCUCUCUCUCUCUCUCACUCACUCUCACUGGACUCAAACCUCUGUGCGUGUACGGACUUCAAACGUUGCAAAGCAAACCUAUCAAAGGAGUGGAGCCCAAGAAGAAAGCAGGGAGAAAAUGUUCGGGUUGACUUGAUUCUAGAAUUCUGAAGACAUGUUCGGCUUUAUUUUACAGACAUGUUUGACUUUUUUUUUACAGACAUAUUGUUAGAUAUCCAUUGAUUUUAUAGUUUUAUUGUCAAAUAUCAAAAUUACAUGUCAUUGAUUGAGAAGUUUAGCUGGGGGACGAUUCAUUUGACUUGGUGUGGUAUGAUAUAUGAUUAGUUGAUUUUGGAGUUCUUGGAGAUAUAUUUGUCCAUUUUAUUUUCAGAAAAAUAUUUUUGCA